CGAACGCUGGCGGCGUGCUUAACACAUGCAAGUCGCACGGCAAGGCCCUGCUUUUGUGGGGUGCUCGAGUGGCGAACGGGUGAGUAACACGUGAGUAACCUGCCCUUGACUUUGGGAUAACUUCAGGAAACUGGGGCUAAUACCGGAUAGGAGCUCCUGCUGCAUGGUGGGGGUUGGAAAGUUUCGGCGGUUGGGGAUGGACUCGCGGCUUAUCAGCUUGUUGGUGGGGUAGUGGCUUACCAAGGCUUUGACGGGUAGCCGGCCUGAGAGGGUGACCGGCCACAUUGGGACUGAGAUACGGCCCAGACUCCUACGGGAGGCAGCAGUGGGGAAUAUUGCACAAUGGGCGGAAGCCUGAUGCAGCAACGCCGCGUGCGGGAUGACGGCCUUCGGGUUGUAAACCGCUUUCGCCUGUGACGAAGCGUGAGUGACGGUAAUGGGUAAAGAAGCACCGGCUAACUACGUG
This 466-nucleotide ribosomal RNA is filed under the name uncultured bacterium. RNAcentral describes it as "partial 16S ribosomal RNA". It matches the Rfam family "Bacterial small subunit ribosomal RNA", at positions 30 to 507 of the family's 1533-position model. The record is from RNAcentral.